AUUGAACGCUGGCGGCAUGCCUAACACAUGCAAGUCGAACGGCAGCUCGGGGGCAACCCUGGCGGCGAGUGGCGGACGGGUGAGGAAUGCAUAGGAAUCUGCCCGGUUGUGGGGGAUAACGUAGGGAAACUUACGCUAAUACCGCAUACGACCUUCGGGUGAAAGUGGGGGACCUUCGGGCCUCACGCGAUCGGAUGAGCCUAUGCCCGAUUAGCUAGUUGGCGGGGUAAGAGCCCACCAAGGCGACGAUCGGUAGCUGGUCUGAGAGGAUGAUCCGCCACACUGGGAGUGAGAAACGGCCCAGACUCCUACGGGAGGAAGCAGUGGGGAAUCUUGGACAAUGGGGGAAAGCCUGAUCCAGCAAUGCCGCGUGUGUGAAGAAGGCCUUCGGGUUGUAAAGCACUUUUGUUCGGGAAGAAAUCCGUGUGGUUAAUACCCGAACGGGAUGACGGUACCGAAAGAAUAAGCACCGGCUAACUUCGUG
Molecule: ribosomal RNA, 484 nt
Filed under: uncultured bacterium
Lineage: Bacteria
Description: partial 16S ribosomal RNA
Rfam family: Bacterial small subunit ribosomal RNA
Source: RNAcentral